CUAAGGUAGCAUAAUCAUUUGUUAUUUAAUUGGUAGCUGGAAUGAAAGGUUAAACUAAUUUAUUAAGUUUGUGUAACUAAGUAGUAAAUUAAAGUUAAGGUAAGAAUUCUUUAAUCUUCUAGGGGACGAUAAGACCCUAUAAGCUUGACGAGCAUAGAGGGUUGUUCUAGAAGUUUGUUUGUUUUACUGGGGCGGUAAAAGUAAAUAAGCUAUUUAGUAUUUAGAGGAUCCUUAAAAUAAAGAAAAAAUGGAAAAGUUACUCUAGGGAUAA
RNAcentral lists this ribosomal RNA (271 nucleotides) under Gammarus balcanicus. Its description in RNAcentral is "partial 16S ribosomal RNA". The record is from RNAcentral. Lineage: Eukaryota; Metazoa; Arthropoda; Malacostraca; Amphipoda; Gammaridae.